RNAcentral lists this ribosomal RNA (758 nucleotides) under uncultured archaeon. RNAcentral's name for it is "bacterial SSU rRNA". It matches the Rfam family "Archaeal small subunit ribosomal RNA", at positions 102 to 859 of the family's 1478-position model. The record is from RNAcentral.
GGAUAACUUACCCUUUAGGACUGGGAUAACUCUGGGAAACUGGGGAUAAUACUGGAUAUUAGGCUAUGCCUGGAAUGGUUUGCCUUUGAAAUGUUUUUUCGCCUAAGGAUAGGUCUGCGGCUGAUUAGGUCGUUGGUGGGGUAAUGGCCCACCAAGCCGAUGAUCGGUACGGGUUGUGAGAGCAAGGGCCCGGAGAUGGAACCUGAGACAAGGUUCCAGACCCUACGGGGUGCAGCAGGCGCGAAACCUCCGCAAUGUACGAAAGUGCGACGGGGGGAUCCCAAGUGUUAUGCUUUUUUGUAUGACUUUUCAUUAGUGUAAAAAGCUUUUAGAAUAAGAGCUGGGCAAGACCGGUGCCAGCCGCCGCGGUAACACCGGCAGCUCGAGUGGUAGCUGUUUUUAUUGGGCCUAAAGCGUUCGUAGCCGGUUUGAUAAGUCUUUGGUGAAAGCUUGUAGCUUAACUAUAAGAAUUGCUGGAGAUACUAUUAGACUUGAAGUCGGGAGAGGUUAGAGGUACUACCGGGGUAGGGGUGAAAUCCUAUAAUCCUGGGAGGACCACCUGUGGCGAAGGCGUCUAACUGGAACGAUCUUGACGGUGAGUAACGAAAGCCAGGGGCGCGAACCGGAUUAGAUACCCGGGUAGUCCUGGCCGUAAACGAUGUGGACUUGGUGUUGGAAUGGCUUUGAGUUGUUCCGGUGCCGAAGGGAAGCUGUUAAAUCCACCGCCUGGGAAGUACGGUCGCAAGACUGAAACUUAA